AACGAACGCUGGCGGCAUGCCUAACACAUGCAAGUCGAACGAGAUCUUCGGGUCUAGUGGCGCACGGGUGCGUAACGCGUGGGAAUCUGCCCUUUGGUUCGGAAUAACAGUUGGAAACGACUGCUAAUACCGGAUGAUGACGAAAGUCCAAAGAUUUAUCGCCAGAGGAUGAGCCCGCGUCGGAUUAGCUAGUUGGUGUGGUAAAGGCGCACCAAGGCGACGACCCUUCGCUGGUCGGAGGGGAUGAUCAGCCACACUGGGACUGAGACUCGGCACAGACUGCUACGGGAGGCUGCAGUGGGGAACAUUGGACCAUGGGCGAAAGCCUGAUCCAGCAAUGCCGCGUGAGUGAUGAAGGCCUUAGGGUUGUAAAGCUCUUUUACCCGGGAAGAUAAUGACAGUACCGGGAGAAUAAGCUCCGGCUAACUCCGUGCCAGCAGCCGCCGUAA
RNAcentral lists this ribosomal RNA (449 nucleotides) under uncultured bacterium. RNAcentral describes it as "partial 16S ribosomal RNA". It matches the Rfam family "Bacterial small subunit ribosomal RNA", at positions 29 to 523 of the family's 1533-position model. The record is from RNAcentral.